CUACGACCAUAAAUCCUGGCUGACUCAGGCUCUGAUGUUCUGAGAUGGGAGAAGAGGAGCUCAGGGGAGACCUCAUCGCUCUUUCCGACUGCCUGAAAGGAGGCUGGGGUGAGGUGGGGGUCGGCCUCUGCUCUCAGAUAACAGUGAUAAGCUGAGAAUUUGCAGCCUUCAGACCCAUCUAGGCCUUCACCUGGUGAUCUCCUCAGCUGAAUGAAUAUGUCAAGAUCGGUCUUUUCACAUCCAGUCCCCAUUCUGACGCAGCCCUCCGGUGUGCCUGGCUGGAGUCAGCCUCUCCUCCCUCAGUCUCCCAUCCAUGUAACAGGGGGAUUGAAGAGCUCUGCUCCUCGGCUUGUGAGACAGAAUGACCGCAGGUGCUGAGAGAGAGCAGGAAAUCAUCUUUGUAAAGCUGUCCAGAAAGCCUUGAAUUCAGCCUUAUCUGGAGGAUUACCCCACGCAGUUCAGUUCUUGGCAUUCAGCUCCUCUGCAGUCCCCAGCUUCAGCACAGGAAACUCCUUCACCUAGCUGCUGCCAGCAUGCUUUUGGCGACCCUGGCUGUCCCGUCAGCUGUUACAGGCCAUUAAAGGAUUUGUUUCUCGGCGUAUGAAAAGGCUUAAUUCAAUUCUCAUUCUCUUCUGGCAUUCCUCGGAGAGCCUUCUAGGCUGUCAUCUACUUCUGGCUUCGCUCAGACUCUGCAGUCCAAAGAGUCAUGUGCAGUGACCCGCCACCAUCCCUGCUUCAGACUCCAGAGUCAGGCAGAAUGUUCAGAAAGAGAGCCUCGCUCCUUAGAAAAUCCCCAGGGGAGUCUUGCAGGAGAAGAAGUGGGUGACAAAUCCUCUGCCUCUGCUUCCUCGGGGACCCAGGGGGGGGGAACACUCAAAUGUCAGCAUCUGAAGGGAUCACGAAGGAAGCAAGGCGAGCACCAACUACUCUUCCACCUCUCAGAGGUGCCUGCAUACACACAGCCUUGAUACAACCCUGCUGCAGAUUAUAGACGUGUUUUGGUUGAGAUUCUCUGUGCUUGAUGCAUUGUCUGCCUGCAACGCAGGGCAAACUCUACUCCUCCCUUCUGGCCCGGCCUGUAAUGAUGGAUUAAGUAGGUAAGUAAUAGAGUGGUAAUGAGAUAACCACUGACAUCGAGCAUUAACGUGGGAAUAAAUGAAGUUACCAUCCAGAACUAAUGGCCUGAACUAUCACUGGGUUGUAAUUAAUGAACGUGGUGGCUGAGAUUUACAAGGAUAUUUUAGGAUGCUGUUUGCAUGCAGCUUUGGCUUUUAUGGCUUGGUUGGAAAGAAAUCAAUUAAUGCCAUGAACUUAAUGAAUGAGAUGACGAUGUGCUUUGUCAGAUUGUAGUGCCCCUUUUGUGGAAGCGGCUAGACUGGUGUGCACGUGGAAUGCUGUUGUUUGCCUUACUUCAAGGGACGGAAGAAGUUAGGAUACUGUGAUCUCUGUCUCCCUAGGUCACUUACUCUGCAGUGUGUAGUGGAGCUGUUGCAAAGUGUCUCUGAUGGCCAAACUACACACUAGCGGUGUGCCUGUGCUCAAGAGGCCUUGCUUGGAGAGCUGUCCCUCUCUCCUUGCAUGGCUUAGUAGGCAUGUGACCCUGCCAAACACUUUGGAUAUGUGUGAAUAACACUUUUGAGGUGGUUGCUAGGCUGUUGCAGAAAACACAGAAGAGCAGUCAAAAUUCUUCACGUUAAUUGGUGGGAACAAUCCAGCCAUCUCUGCUGACUGUUGCUUCUCUCAUCUUUCCAUGGCAACAGUCUCUCUACAGCAGCCCAGGUGCUCAUGGUUGGGCAUGCUGGGAUUUCUGAGCCCUCUGUCUUCCAAAUCACCCCCUUGGAGCAUGGAGGGAACAUCUGUACCGCUAAAGUAUGGCAUCACAUGAUGCAUCAAAGACAUCUCUUUGUGUAAUCAUGUUCCUUAUGCUGUCAGAGACAGAAAACUUUGGGAACGUGAACUGAGCCCUUACAUUUCUUCAGUGCAAAAUGCUGUUGCCCUGUUCUUUUGAUGAGGAGAGGAAGGUGCUGAGUCUUUCCUGUCCUGGCCGUGUCCAUGGACCGAGCUGUCAUACCAUUCUGAGAGCUGGAGGAAGGAAAUGGACUGGUAAGCAAAGGGAAGGGUGAUGUCUCUCUCUCUGCCACAGAGCCCAGCCUGACUGCUGGUGUGAAGUUGCCUUUUGGAAGCCAGGAUGGUGGCUGGAGGUGAGAAUAAGGAGAGAAAGUGGCUCAGGCACUGCAUCGUCCUCACCUCUGCUCCCUGCUGUGAAUAUAAGCGUGUGGAGAUAGCACAAAGAGGGGUGCUGCCCACUUCUAGCAGGGUAGAGUAGGUAUGGAGGAGGCAUCCCUUCUGCCUUGCCUCUCUGAAGCAUGUUCCAGGCAUGUUCUAGCACCAUUUUCUCUUCUGGGACCUGUUUUACAGGCACUUUUAAUGAUUCUAGGGGAAAAUGAGAGACAGAUGGCCAGUGAUGAACCCAGUCCAAAGCUGCCCAGACUUGAGGGAGGGUGUCGUUUCAGCUGGAAGCAUCACAUCUUUGAGGUGCACGCUCAGUAGUUCCCUUCCACGCUGAACAGGAGGAAGGAAUUUCCACCUGCUGGACCAGCGUAAGCCAAGACCCAAAUUGAGCAAAGUAUGGUUCAUGGAUUUACACAUUAUGUGAUAUGCACCUUCCCUUCCCCCAGCUUUGGGAAGUUUAUUGCCCCCAACAAAGUAUGCCGUGUGGCAGGCUGUUAUGUGACAGGGGAAAAUUACCCAGACUGUUCUCCAGAAGGCAAGUGAGCAAAAAUUUUCCUCCAACUGGUUCAGGACAAAGUUAAUGUAGGAAAGCCAUUAAAAUUAAUGCUGGUAAUCAAGGAUAAAAACCAGCAGGGCUGUAACAAAAUUUGGACCAGAUUGAGUUUCCCAGCUGUCAUGCUGCAUGCUUUCUUAAAGGCAGCAGGCAGAGGGAGGGUGUAGUGUAAGGCAGGCUUGGAAAGUUCUUGUCAAGGGUGUGAGUUUGGGGGCAUCUGGAUUCUGGUGGCAUUGGCUCCUUGGUCCGGCACUGUCUUUUUUUGUUUUUGAGGAAGCAAUGUCUCUGCUUGGUCUGAUGGUCCUUAUGACUUGUGUUUUAUUCAUAUCAUGUUUACCUGCUUUCUUCCAGAGUCUGCCCUCAGAAUUCAGGUCCUUGUCCAGGACUCUGGGAACCUGCCUGCGUGUGAUUGACGGCAUCACGUGAGCGUGUAUGGGGCUGCAUCUCAUGCUGUCGGGUCAGAGAUUACCUCCAAGCAGCCAAUACUCAACAUUCAGUCAGAAAAGAUGCAAAGAAGCAGAGCCAUUCCCCUCUCUGUGUCAUCUGCCUCUGAGAGUGGGAGAGUGCUGGCAGAGCGCUACCGGGUCUGUACUGGUAUAGAGAGGAAGGCUCAGAUUUGAUGAUUUGUCCAUUAUCUGGUGGUGGAUACAGCCUAACCUGGGCUCAGAGCAUCCCAAGGUCUGUAUCCUAGUGCAGGAACUGGCUGCUGCUGCUCUCUUCUGAAUAGACAGCUUUCUCCAGCCUCACAGCAUGCUAAUGUAGGCCAGUCACCUUCACCACAACUCCUGGCGCAAGAUAUUCAGCAGACUUGAUGCUUCAUAGUAGGCUGAAUCUGGUAUAACCAAGGCAGAAUUUCUACCUGCCAGUAGUGAAGUAAUGCCCUGUGAUUUCAAGUGACCACUGGUUUGACAGCAGUAGUGAAAGGGAAAGGCAUGAAUAGGCCGGAUAUCAGGAAAACCUUCUCAGGAGUGAUGAGGCUGUGAAAUGGACUGCCCAGGGAGGUGGUGGAGUCACUGUCCCUGGAGGUGUUCAAGAACUGUGGAGACGUGGCACUGAGGGACGUGGUUUAGUGAGCAAUAAUGGUUGAUGGGUGGACAGCUGGAUUAGAUGGGUCCGACUAGAGGUCCUCCAAUUAGAGGUCUUUUCCAGUCUAAAUGAUUCUAUGAAAGCAGUCGACCGUUUUCUUGCAGUCUCUGAGGAGCUUGGAUAUGGUGUCUGAAACGAGCUAAGGAAGCCACCUAAUCUCUGAGCACAUCCACCUUCUGCAGCAUACACCCUUCCAGCCACAAAGAGGUCCUGAGUCCCUCAGUGGCUGCAAAGAACAGCAGGUAGAUGGAGCAGACAGAGAUGGAGAGCAUUCUUUUGUUGCUUUUUUUUUGGGGGGGGGAGUAUCGUUGAAGAAUCAGGGUGACAAAAAUAUUUUGAUGGAAGUGACUAUGUGAAAUAUCUUUUCAUUUUGAUUAUUUGAAAAACAAAAACUGUUCAUGGGUUUUAAAAUUCAUGUCCCCUCCGGGUUGCUUUGUUUUGUUUUGUUUCUUAUUCCUUCUCCCUUAUUCCUCAGAGGAAGCCAUCCAAACCUACACGGUGCGUCAUUUCUUGAGGAAAUGCAGUGUGAUCUUUUUUUCCAGUUUAACCUGGGCUGAAAAAUCUUCUGGUGUUUCAUUUGCCUGAGAAAUCAGAAAAAAAAAGCUUGGAUGAAACAGGAAUCUGACUGGUUCACAGGGAACCUUCUUGGUUUUGGAGACCCAUUUGGGUGGGGUAGCUGCAGGAGCUCUUUGCUGUGCAGGUUGGGGAGGAGGUGAUGCCAUCUUUGCCUGGGCCAUACUUUGUGCCCAAUGCCUUCUCCAGGGGUGAGGGGCAUAAGGGGUGCAGAGCUGUGUCUUGGUUGCAGCAGGGAACUGCUACCACUGAAGUAUGAUUCUCAGCUUUCUGGAGUUGUGGAAAACAUCUGGACAAUGGUUGAAAUUGGAAGAGCGAAGGGCUAUCCUGGCUUUUGAGGGCAUAUCAUGGGAUGUCCCGCAGGUGGCUUGUUGGAGGUGAACCACAGAGGGAGGACUGCACUGGAGAGGCAUAGAGGCUCACAUGGGACGGGAGUGGUGGCAACUGCCUGUAUGCCUGAAAGCAGGGCAAGCAGUGGGCUGGGGGUGGAGGAGACCACCUCCGCCUGUUGCUGCCAUCUCCACGAGCUGCCAGCUCUGCCGUGUAGCUUUGCCCAGAUCUGCAGUAGAGCUGCUCAUCCCCAGCCCUGCCAUCCCUGUGCCCCACAUGCUGCCUCUCCUAUAAAUAGCCGGAUGGGAAGCAGAGCGCAGAGCCGCCGCAGAUGGCCCCCAGUUCCACGCGCACUCAUGUGUGAGAUCCCAGAGAGGGGCUGUCAAUUCCUUGCCUACAGCCACCCAUGCAACCUCAUUAAGGAUGGUGUCGUCUUCCUUAACCCCCAUCGCCCCCUCCCUCCCCACUUCAACGUGCCUCCAUUUGAGCACCCUUAUUAAACGUGCACUUCUAAGCAAGGAGCGCUGACUUCCCCUUAAUUGAGGCAUAAUAAUUAGAGCAUUAACACAUUAGGAGAGUGAGACAGCAUGUUUAGCUUUUGUGAUUAAUUAUCUGAGGAUUGUAAUAAGUUGUUAAGACAUUAAUUACUCUGGCAUGUUUAUUGCUCUUUAUUGCAGAACUGACACUUGGUGGAAGAGUUGCUGGUGUGCCUGGCGGUGCACCGUGAGGUGGGCUGGCCAGGGGAGACCUCUGCUCCCCCAUAGACACUGAGCUGCUGCUUGGGAAUGGAUCUAGGGGAGCAGAAACAGCUCCUGAACCUCCAGCAGGACACCUCGGGAUGGAAGUGGUGUCUGAAUCUCUUAGAGUCGUAGGAUUAUGAAGGUUGGAAUAAAACACUGAGAGCAUCAGCCCAUCCCCACCGUGCCCACUAAACCAUGUCCCUCAAUGCCGCGUUCUCCCUCAUCUUGGGGCAGCCUGGGAGCUGGAAGGCUUAUUUUUAUGGAUGGUUUCAGCUGGAUUUCUCUCUUCUUUCAAACAAAGUGUUUCCUCUCGGAUGGUUUGAGCCUGCCCUCAUUUGGAUCUUUGUUUUUGCAAAUCCAAGUCAGCGUGGCUCAUUGUGCCUGGAUCUGAGGAGGAUGGCUGUCUGUUAACGACAAGCUGAAGUUCAGCGUGUCGGCGGUGGUCAGGGAGUGAACCAGGACCCCAGUGGCCUCGCUUGGCUCUUGAUCAGAUGAAUUUUCUUCUGGAGAGCUGGGAGGUGGGUUAGGGAAGGCUGUUGCUGUGGCAGCAGGAGUGGAUCAGCCCUCUGCAGCCUGUUCUUCACACAGCAAGCUGCUCAGCGACCUGUCAGAGCUGUGCUGAUCAGAUGGGGGCUGAAGGCAGAGUUCAGAGCAGGAGGAUGGGUGGGUCCAUGUGCUGCUGUGACAGAGAAAAAAGGAAGCAGGAGGCUGCGAUGGGCCUGUUCCAGCCUUCUGCUUUUCCCAUGAGUUGCACAGUGCCAGAGUCUUGCUGUCCAGCUCUUUGGGUGGGGGACAGCACAGGAGAAAUGGGGGGAAAUGGAGUAACAGCCCCAGCCACUGGCAUGGAGAAUAAAACUGGGAAAAUGGUGAAAGUCGAGAAGGUGAGAAAGCUGUGAGUUUUGUGUGUUUGCUGUUGGUUUGAUAUUGGAUGGCCCCAUCCCUGCCGACAGCCAAGGUCAGGCUGGAUGGGCUCUGAGCACCACUAGGGCUGUGAGUGUCCCUGCUCAGUGCAGGAGGGUUGGACCAGAUGGCCUCUGAGGGUCCUUUCCAGCUCAAAACGAUGCUGUGGUUCCUUGGGGAGCCCUAGAGCUGAAAUGUCUGGUUUCCAGCCUAUGGCAGUGCCCUUGUGGCUUUGCAACACGUGCUUGUGUCUUGGGGUAGCAGCCAAGGGAGUGGGAGGGGGUCUUUAAACGUGAAGACCCUGUCCGGUUCGCCUUUCCCAAGGACAGACUGUCUCACUGUGGCUCCCACCAGCUCAAUCUGCUGUCACUGUGUCACUGGCACUGGUGGCCAGGGAGCUGCACAAGGCACUGAAUGCCCUCCUCGUGUGCGAGCUGGGAUCCAUCUUGUGUCAGCUGCCUUCAGCACCUCCGAGCCCACACUGCCUUGCUGAAGCCCAGCCUGAAUAUGGCAUUUGCUGUCAGGUGGCUGAUUUCUGCCUGCAGAAUAUGGAGAGCGUCAGCCUGGCAUUUCCCACUUGCCUCCUAGGGACAAAGCAGGUCAUGACUUCCGUGUAUUAUCAUUAAAAAGAUAAUUUCCUCUAGAUGUGUGCAAUAAGACAAUGGUGCUGACCUGUGAUCCUGGCAUUGCACAGCAUUAAUGAUUUCCCUUUGCAGGUAAUAAGCAGCAAAUGUACACAUUUUGGGGAGAUCUGAAUUAGUUUUUUUCCCUCCUUUUAAGACUGCUGUCUUCCUAGGCCAGACUUAAUUAGCAGACCUCAUUAUUUCCUGAAAUGUAACUUGACUUCCAUUGAAUGAGAAUUGUUCAGUGGAUGGGGAGCAGCAGAGCGGUGCUGCAAUAUUCAUAUUGUUUAAAUUGCAACAUUAACAUUUCAUGCCGCUCUUGGCAUAUUUUCAGGUGCGGCCCUUUAGCUCAAUGCAGUGCUGUGAAAGGUUGGAUCAGAACAAUUAGGAUACAGCGACUGGAUUUCUGGAUUAUUAUUAUUAUUAUUUUUUUUUUAAGCAACACAAGCUUAGAUUCAAUGCCCAUCACUCUAUUUGUUUGGCAGAACAGGGAUUCCAGCGCCCCUGAAGUAAAUGCUUUUCUGGAAUAAAGGAUGUGCUGUAGCACAUGCUCACCUCCUCUCUUAGCAGAGAUGAAGCCCUGCAGGUACAUGCAGUACGUGAUUCGCAGGGCUGGAAGCACCUCCUGGGACUUGACCUUCACUAGCUAAAUAGGAGAACUCCCAAUAAUGCUUCUGGCCACCUAGGCCACAGUCGCACACAAAAAGGCUGUUUCCCACUUUGCCCUUGUUCUUGGAUGCCUCAGGCUGGAGGUGGCACUGUAGUAAUGCCCAGGUCCAAGCGGAUCCUACAUGAGCACGUGGAUUGCACUCCCUAUCUCCAAACAGCCCGUGGGCCUUGGUCCUGCACAGGGGCUCCAGUGACCUUUGCUGCCUUGCCCCAUAGUGUGCUUUCCAGUAGUUUUUCCUGUACUGGAGUUCAGUGUCAAUGAUGGGAGUUAAUGUCAAGGAAUCAUAGAAUACCUGGGUUAGAAGGAACCUUAAAGCCCACCCAGUCCCAACCCUACAGUGGGCUGGCUGCCCCUCCCCCACCAGCUUAGGCUGCCCAAGGCCCAAUCCAGCCUUCCUCGAGCACCUCCAAGGAUGGGACACACGUCUGGGAUUGCCAUGAACCAAGUGCAACACCUUGAAUUUGGCCUUGGCAGUGUCAAGAACAACUCCAGCUUCCACCCUGGAACAACUUAGUUAGGGUCUCUGACUUCAGCCAACCAUGCCUCCCAUUUGUAACGUGUGCAGUGGGAUCCAUGACAUCUUAUCUCCCAUGGAUACGUAGCUUGGGUCAGGGUUCUCUGGUAUCUGGUAAGCUGCUUGUGCUGAACGGAACACCUCCUCUCGUGGGUUAUUUAUAACAUCCUGCUCUCCCACGCAGAUUGUCUGGUGUCUAAUAGUGGAUGAUGCACUACAGUUUGCAAGGUGCUAAUAAUCUCUCUCCUCUGUUUGACAG
Molecule: long non-coding RNA, 8480 nt
Filed under: Gallus gallus (chicken)
Lineage: Eukaryota; Metazoa; Chordata; Aves; Galliformes; Phasianidae
Description: lncRNA (ENSGALG00010014772.1)
Source: RNAcentral